CGGUAAUUCCAGCUCCAAUA
This 20-nucleotide non-coding RNA is filed under the name Arabidopsis thaliana (thale cress). Lineage: Eukaryota; Viridiplantae; Streptophyta; Magnoliopsida; Brassicales; Brassicaceae. The record is from RNAcentral.